GCGCCUGUAGCUCAAUCGGAUAGAGCAACUGCCUUCUAAGCAGUAGGUUGGGGGUUCGAUUCCCUCCGGGCGCACCA
Molecule: transfer RNA, 77 nt
Filed under: Candidatus Desantisbacteria bacterium CG2_30_40_21
Lineage: Bacteria; Candidatus Desantisiibacteriota
Also listed under: 5 other names
Description: tRNA-Arg
Rfam family: tRNA
About the family: Transfer RNA (tRNA) molecules are approximately 80 nucleotides in length. Their secondary structure includes four short double-helical elements and three loops (D, anti-codon, and T loops). Further hydrogen bonds mediate the characteristic L-shaped molecular structure. tRNAs have two regions of fundamental functional importance: the anti-codon, which is responsible for specific mRNA codon recognition, and the 3' end, to which the tRNAs corresponding amino acid is attached (by aminoacyl-tRNA synthetases). tRNAs cope with the degeneracy of the genetic code in two manners: having more than one tRNA (with a specific anti-codon) for a particular amino acid; and 'wobble' base-pairing, i.e. permitting non-standard base-pairing at the 3rd anti-codon position.
Source: RNAcentral